CCUACGGGGUGCAGCAGUGGGGAAUAUUGCACAAUGGGGGGAACCCUGAUGCAGCAACGCCGCGUGGGUGAAGAAGUACUCCGGUAUGUAAAGCCCUGUCAGCAGGGAAGAAAAUGACGGUACCUGACCAAGAAGCCCCGGCUAACUACGUGCCAGCAGCCGCGGUAAUACGUAGGGGGCAAGCGUUAUCCGGAUUUACUGGGUGUAAAGGGAGCGUAGGCGGGGAUGCAAGUUGGGUGUCAAAACUACCGGCUCAACUGGUAGUCGCACUCAAAACUGCAGCUCUUGAGUGAAGUAGAGGCAGGCGGAAUUCCUAGUGUAGCGGUGAAAUGCGUAGAUAUUAGGAGGAACACCAGUGGCGAAGGCGGCCUGCUGGGCUUUUACUGACGCUGAGGCUCGAAAGUGUGGGGAGCAAACAGGAUUAGAUACCCGGGUAGUC
This 439-nucleotide ribosomal RNA is filed under the name uncultured bacterium. RNAcentral's name for it is "partial 16S ribosomal RNA". It matches the Rfam family "Bacterial small subunit ribosomal RNA", at positions 338 to 795 of the family's 1533-position model. The record is from RNAcentral.